Molecule: unclassified non-coding RNA, 638 nt
Filed under: Hevea brasiliensis (rubber tree)
Lineage: Eukaryota; Viridiplantae; Streptophyta; Magnoliopsida; Malpighiales; Euphorbiaceae
Source: RNAcentral
AAGCCACAGCAGCCACCAUCAAUAUGAUCAAAGUAAGAUCUUGCCAAGCUUCCCAAAGGAACCUCCAGAAACUCCUUCCUUUUUUCUGUGGAUAUGUAUUUGAUCCAAAUGCAUUCUUGCGCUUCAGUAAAUCAGCUAUCAUCCCCAUGGAUCCCCUUCUCUGUAUUUGUUUUUAAAAGAUCAGAAAGCCUUUUUACCCCCCCUAUUUGCUCUAGAAAGUCAAGCCUACGAUCCAUUGUCAUUGUAGAAAGUUGGGCUUGAUCAAUUCCAAAAUCACCAGCAGGUGUUGCAUGUAAUUCUACUUCUCCAUUAGCUUGUCCCAGAGAUGCUGUAAAACGAUAUGCAGCCCGUAUGACUUCUAUAUUUGCUCUUAUCUUUCUAUAUAUUUGCUGCUUCUCUUCUUCCUUUUUCAAGUCCAGGGUGUAUCGGAAUCGACGAGAAGCAUUAAGCACAAGUGCAGCUUGCCUCCAGCGGCGAAGCCGUUCGAUAGUGGCGUUUUUAGUGCUCGGAAUAUAAAAGGGACUGGAAAGCUCGUCGUCAAAGGAACGGCCUCCGGCCUCCAGGUCAUGUCGCCGGCUGGACGGCGAAGAAUUAGAUGGACUAUGCAUUUGUUAACUUUGUUUCUUGUAUAAAAAAAA